RNAcentral lists this ribosomal RNA (484 nucleotides) under uncultured bacterium. Its description in RNAcentral is "partial 16S ribosomal RNA". It matches the Rfam family "Bacterial small subunit ribosomal RNA", at positions 30 to 507 of the family's 1533-position model. The record is from RNAcentral.
AUUGAACGCUGGCGGCAGGCCUAACACAUGCAAGUCGAGCGGUAGAGCGAAGCUUGCUUCUCUUGAGAGCGGCGGACGGGUGAGUAAUGCCUAGGAAUCUGCCUGGUAGUGGGGGAUAACGUUCGGAAACGGACGCUAAUACCGCACACGUCCUACGGGAGAAAGCAGGGGACCUUCGGGCCUUGCGCUAUCAGAUGAGCCUAGGUCGGAUUAGCUAGUUGGUGGGGUAAUGGCUCACCAAGGCGACGAUCCGUAACUGGUCUGAGAGGAUGAUCAGUCACACUGGAACUGAGACACGGUCCAGACUCCUACGGGAGGCAGCAGUGGGGAAUAUUGGACAAUGGGCGAAAGCCUGAUCCAGCCAUGCCGCGUGUGUGAAGAAGGUCUUCGGAUUGUAAAGCACUUUAAGUUGGGAGGAAGGGCAGUAAAUUAAUACUUUGCUGUUUUGACGUUACCGACAGAAUAAGCACCGGCUAACUCUGUG